RNAcentral lists this ribosomal RNA (433 nucleotides) under uncultured bacterium. Its description in RNAcentral is "partial 16S ribosomal RNA". It matches the Rfam family "Bacterial small subunit ribosomal RNA", at positions 29 to 507 of the family's 1533-position model. The record is from RNAcentral.
AGCGAACGCUGGCGGCAUGCCUAACACAUGCAAGUCGAACGAGACCUUCGGGUCUUGUGGCGCACGGGUGCGUAACGCGUGGGAACCUGCCCUUAGGUUCGGAAUAACUCCCCGAAAGGGGUGCUAAUACCGGAUAAUGUCUUCGGACCAAAGAUUUAUCGCCUUUGGAUGGGCCCGCGUUGGAUUAGCUAGUUGGUAGGGUAAAAGCCUACCAAGGCGACGAUCCAUAGCUGGUCUGAGAGGAUGAUCAGCCACACUGGGACUGAGACACGGCCCAGACUCCUACGGGAGGCAGCAGUGGGGAAUAUUGGACAAUGGGCGAAAGCCUGAUCCAGCAAUGCCGCGUGAGUGAUGAAGGCCUUAGGGUUGUAAAGCUCUUUUACCCGGGAUGAUAAUGACAGUACCGGGAGAAUAAGCUCCGGCUAACUCCGUG